UUUCAGCUACAUUCGCUACUCAAGUGUAUGUGCCAGAGCAGUCCGAAGUGCCCUGAAGCCAGAAUUGAGGCAAGAAGCAAGUAAACGAGGAGAUGCAACUAUAAUUAAAGCAACCAAAUUUGAGGGCGGAAAGCCAGUUGCCAAGACAGCCACUGCAUCAUGAUGAGAAUGACUGGUCAAUGAUGGAUGUGUGAUAGCAAUUUAAUAAAUAACAUCUACAUAGGAAAUUUGUGCUUAUUUUGUAAAUUUAUCAAUUAUUAAAACAGUGUGAAAAACUUCUAAAA
This is a long non-coding RNA of Ruditapes philippinarum (Manila clam), 284 nucleotides long. RefSeq lists it as uncharacterized. NCBI's taxonomy places the organism in Eukaryota, Metazoa, Mollusca, Bivalvia, Venerida, Veneridae. The record is from RefSeq and is a predicted model, not a curated record. The transcript has 2 exons.